GGAUUAGAUUAAUUGCUGGAGGUAGUUAGCAUAUUGCCCAAUUUAAGAACUACUACUAAACUCUAACCAAAUUGCGAAUUUCGACACGUUAUAAUGCCGUUUCCUAACCAUUAGAUUUCCGUCAAAUCUUCCCCCAAAGUCCAGGAAAUGGCAUUUGAGAGACUCCAAAUUCAAAACCUCACACUUGCAGCGCUCGGCUCGUGCCUUCGGCCCUCGUUUACCAAGCGUCACAUUAUAGGGCGCAUAUUGGUUGCCAGCUCACUGCCCCCCCCCCCCGCAGAAUAAUGGUACCCAGCACGCCACUGUGUUUCGGAAUAUACUAUUUUGCGAAAUAUGUUACCACAUAUGCCUCGGUUUGAACGCGG
Paramuricea clavata is the source of this 365-nucleotide non-coding RNA. The record is from the annotation of a GenBank genome assembly. NCBI's taxonomy places the organism in Eukaryota, Metazoa, Cnidaria, Anthozoa, Malacalcyonacea, Plexauridae.